CCUGACCCUAGAGGCAUUGCAGGUGUGGCUGCUGUGUCACAUGUGUGCCAGGAGGUGACAGAGAGGAGAGACGCUAUGUCUAUGCUCAGUGUUCUGACUUACGAACAUCUGAAUGAUUACUAGUCUAACACU
Small nucleolar RNA from Meriones unguiculatus (Mongolian gerbil), 132 nucleotides. Lineage: Eukaryota; Metazoa; Chordata; Mammalia; Rodentia; Muridae. The record is from Ensembl.